RNAcentral lists this transfer RNA (59 nucleotides) under Apaloderma vittatum (bar-tailed trogon). It matches the Rfam family "tRNA", at positions 8 to 63 of the family's 71-position model. From Rfam's summary of the family: Transfer RNA (tRNA) molecules are approximately 80 nucleotides in length. The record is from Rfam by way of RNAcentral. Lineage: Eukaryota; Metazoa; Chordata; Aves; Trogoniformes; Trogonidae.
UAGCUCAGUCGGUUAGAGUGUGGUGCUGAUAAAUCCAAGGUCAUGGGUUCGAUCCCUGU